GGAGAGAUACCCAAGAGGCUGAAGGGGGGAGAUUGCUAAUCUCCUAGGUCGGCUUUAAAACCGGCGCGAGGGUUCAAAUCCCUCUCUCUCCGCCA
RNAcentral lists this transfer RNA (95 nucleotides) under Candidatus Uhrbacteria bacterium RIFOXYB2_FULL_45_11. RNAcentral describes it as "tRNA-Ser". It matches the Rfam family "tRNA". From Rfam's summary of the family: Transfer RNA (tRNA) molecules are approximately 80 nucleotides in length. Their secondary structure includes four short double-helical elements and three loops (D, anti-codon, and T loops). Lineage: Bacteria; Candidatus Uhriibacteriota. The record is from RNAcentral.